AUGUUCUCUUGAUGUUUGAUAAGGGGUCUGGCCUGCUCACUGAACUAUAUAUUAAAGAGCUGCAGUAUUUUGACUGUGCAAAGGUAGCACAAUCAUUAGUCCUUUAAUUGUGGACUGGUAUGAAAGGUUAGACAGAUAAAUUUUGUGUCAAAUUUAUAAAUUGAAUUUAUCUUUUGUAUGAAAAGAUACAAAUAUAUUUAAAAGACAAGAAGACCCUUUUAAAGUUAAUAUAUUUUAUUUAAUUUGCUUAUAAUAAAUUAGUUUAAUUAGAUGAAUGUAUUUUGCUGGGGCGGCAAAUAUAAUUUAUCUUUAUUUAUUAUACAUGUUUUAAUUAGCUUAUUUUGUGAGCCUAAUAUUUGGCUGGAAAAAUAAGUUACUAAAGGGAUAACAGCGUAAUAUAUUUUAAGAGUUCUUAUUGACAUUUAUGUUUGCGA
Molecule: ribosomal RNA, 434 nt
Filed under: Kryphioiulus occultus
Lineage: Eukaryota; Metazoa; Arthropoda; Diplopoda; Julida; Julidae
Description: partial 16S ribosomal RNA
Source: RNAcentral